RNAcentral lists this ribosomal RNA (402 nucleotides) under uncultured bacterium. RNAcentral's name for it is "bacterial SSU rRNA". It matches the Rfam family "Bacterial small subunit ribosomal RNA", at positions 355 to 774 of the family's 1533-position model. The record is from RNAcentral.
UGGGGAAUUUUGCUCAAUGGGCGCAAGCCUGAAGCAGCAACGCCGCGUGAGGGAUGAAGGCCUUCGGGUUGUAAACCUCUUUUCUCAGGGACGAUGAUGACGGUACCUGAGGAAUAAGUCACGGCUAACUACGUGCCGGCAGCCGCGGUAAUACGUAGGUGACCAGCGUUGUCCGGAUUUACUGGGCGUAAAGAGCGCGCAGGCGGUCGUUCAAGUCGAGUGUGAAAGCCCCCGGCUCAACUGGGGAGGGUCACUCGAUACUGAUCGACUUGAAGGCAGGAGAGGGCAGCGGAAUUCCCGGUGUAGUGGUGAAAUGCGUAGAUAUCGGGAGGAACACCAGUGGCGAAGGCGGCUUCCUGGCCUGUUCUUGACGCUGAGGCGCGAAAGCUAGGGGAGCAAACG